Non-coding RNA from Lepus europaeus (European hare), 456 nucleotides. NCBI's taxonomy places the organism in Eukaryota, Metazoa, Chordata, Mammalia, Lagomorpha, Leporidae. The record is from the annotation of a RefSeq genome assembly.
AUGGAGACUGGGCUGCGCUGGGUUCUCCUUGUUGCUGUGCUCAAAGGUGUCCAGUGUCAGGAGCAGCUGGAGGAGUCCGGGGGAGGCCUGGUCAAGCCUGGGGGAUCCCUGACACUCUCCUGCAAAGCCUCUGGAUUCACCGUCAGUAGCUAUGCAAUGUACUGGGUCCGCCAGGCUCCAGGGAAGGGGCUGGAAUGGAUCGGAGUCAUUAAUACUGGUGGUAGCACAUACUACGCGAGCUGGGCGAAAAGCCGAUGCACCAUCUCCAGAAGCACCAACCAGAACACGGUGUCUCUGAAAAUGACCGGUCUGACAGCCGCGGACACCGCCACCUAUUUCUGUGCCAGGGGAAGCCCUGGUUUCCCGUCAGGGAUUUGGGGUCCUGGGACCCUCCUGUGGGGCUCCUGCCUGAACUCAGGAGGGAAAUGCGCUGGACAGGAGCAGUCAAGGUCAUAA